UUGAGCCCAUUGUUCCAGCCACUGUGUCGAUCCAUCUCUUGGAGGGUUCUCCUCUUGUUUUUGUAGGAAUCUGAAGAACUCGGUACUGCAGCAGAUUCUCGGCUCGGAAAAGGUGCAGAGAGAGAGCAGUUUCUAUCAUUUCACCUGCCCUUAAUCUAUUUCAACCACAGAACUGGUCCACGUGGGCCAGUCAAUGUUCUGUGCGCCACCUUGAUGAGAAAUCAGUGUGAGGCUGAAGGAGGAAGAGAAACGGGCUGCAAGAUUUGGAAAGGGUAAUGGAAGCACACAUUUCGACUUCUUUUCCAUAAGAAUUGUCCUCUCUUGGCUACUUUGCUUAGUCUGAGAAAAUAAAAGUUUUCCUUCUGAAA
Long non-coding RNA from Echinops telfairi (small Madagascar hedgehog), 368 nucleotides. RefSeq lists it as uncharacterized. NCBI's taxonomy places the organism in Eukaryota, Metazoa, Chordata, Mammalia, Afrosoricida, Tenrecidae. The transcript is spliced from 2 exons. The record is from RefSeq and is a predicted model, not a curated record.